AUAUGGAUUCGGGCUGCC
RNAcentral lists this non-coding RNA (18 nucleotides) under Arabidopsis thaliana (thale cress). The record is from RNAcentral. Lineage: Eukaryota; Viridiplantae; Streptophyta; Magnoliopsida; Brassicales; Brassicaceae.